GCUGUUCGACGAAAGACAGAGCCCUUCGGGAAAUGUAGUUCGGGAGCGUACCAGGCCUUCCGGCGCUGGGCUUCCGCUUCCGGUAGCCACUGGCGGCUCUAGUGCUACAGCUGAGGGUCUGUGCUGGGCUUCGAGCGCUGCUUGGGACUUCACGUGGCCGCGGAGAAAGUUCUAUGGGGCUGAGUCGUCCGCAGCCGCAAGCCCUAGACGGGCAGGAGAUUUCAAGAGUUCGACGUAGUGACUCAAGGGCAGGUGGCUUUCCAGUGAGACGCUGGGAGAGGUUUGAGUUUUGGAGCACAGCUGUCGGGUUCUCUGAGCUGAACGAUGGCAGUGGCUGUGGCCCAACAGACACAAACUCCUGAAGCGCAGGAAGAGCUUCGCACAGUGAGGCUGGAAGAAGAUUCCUGCUGGAAGCAGGAGGUUUCCCUUCCAGGCAAUGCCUCUGGACCAGAGCCCUCCUGCCACAGCUUUUGGCAUGUCUGCUCCCAGGAAGCACCAGAACCCUGGGAAGGCCUCAUCCAGCUCCGGAAGCUCUGUUGCCGCUGGCUGAGACCAGACAGUACGAAAGAGCAGAUCCAGGAGCUCCUGGUCCCAGAACAGUUCCUGACCCUCCUUUCCCCAGGAGAUCAGAUCUGGGGCCCACAGCAGCAUCCUGAAGUGUAGCAAAGGCUGUAGCCCUGCUGGGAGACAGCUGCAGGUAAGACAGGACAGCGUCCUUCUGAGUCGUUCACAUAGAGCACCCCCCGCCCUCCCCCGCGCAGUGGCCGCCGUGGGGGUGAUGUGUGAUACUCUGGUAUUUGCGUCCAACUGCAAUUUGCUAUUCCCUGGCCCUGGAAGCUGCAAUUUUCCUUGCAAGUUCACUCGGGCUCUUCAAGGAAGGCCCAGCCGGUUCUUUUCUGAGUGUUGCUGCCUGCUGUUAAAUAAGAGAACUGCCUGGAAUGCCUGAGACGUGCAUGUGGCUGGGAGGACACUUCGAAUUCUGCUGCAGCCAGCUGGGAGCAGGUGGCUCCACGGUCACUGUGGGCACUUCUGAGCCUGUUGCAGAACUGCUGAAUCAUUUGGUCAUGCUCUGUGGGUUUGGUUUUUUUUUUCAAGACAGGGCCAACUUGCAGUGAUCCUUCUACUUCAUCUUCCCCAGUGUUAGAGCUACAGGCGUGCGCUUCCUUGCCUAGAAAUCCUGUGUUUUGCCUCGGGGUUGGCAGGGCAGGUGGGAGCAGCUGCAGGAGAGCAGGGUGGCUGGGCUGGGCCUUGUCCCUGUGGAGUCUUCACAUGGCCAGACUCCCUCCUUUGCUGCUGCAGGCCACCACCACCAAGCCAAGGCCUGGAGAACGGGAAGGUGGCAGGAUGCACUGGGGCUGAGGAACCAAGAAUUUUGGGGAAUUUUCCGAGUCCAUGAAAAACUGCUGCCGCCACGCAGCCGCCAUGUGCACUGGACGGUGGCCCAGCGGGUGCAGGAGAGGGGCUUCCUGUGGGCCUGGGCAGCGCUCCUGAGCCGGGGAGGCUGUGGGCAGGGCUGAUCUGGGCCUGCGCAGGAGCACAGUCCCUGGAUGGCCUCUGAUGUGCAGAACAAACAGGGCUUGGGAAUAAAUGGAACAGUUUUUCACUCCUAAAA
Long non-coding RNA from Chinchilla lanigera (long-tailed chinchilla), 1612 nucleotides. RefSeq lists it as uncharacterized. NCBI's taxonomy places the organism in Eukaryota, Metazoa, Chordata, Mammalia, Rodentia, Chinchillidae. The record is from RefSeq and is a predicted model, not a curated record. The transcript has 2 exons.